This 1024-nucleotide long non-coding RNA is filed under the name Salmo salar (Atlantic salmon). Its description in RNAcentral is "lncRNA (ENSSSAG00000092800.1)". Lineage: Eukaryota; Metazoa; Chordata; Actinopteri; Salmoniformes; Salmonidae. The record is from RNAcentral.
CCCCCUUAUCUGUGCUAUCAAGCCCUUUAAAGGAACUUGCAGUCAGGUGCUUGUGAAGUUAAAUUCUAUCUUAAACCACCUCUCAAAUCCUUGCCUUCAAUUAUGUAGCGUUUUCACCAAACAUAGACAUUUUCUAAAGAGACUGCUCUCGAAGAUCUGACCCUCACGAUGCUGGCUCAGAAUAAAAAGCCUUCAUUAUCUGUGAUUGCAACCUAACAAAGACUAAAAGGGCUUUGUUUUGUGAGCCAGGGCUGAUAUUGAUCUGCAGCUAGGUAGGCAGCUGUGAUUGUGGAGUGGAGCUGGACUGACCUGAGCAUAUCAGGAAUCAAGGUAAGACCCAAGUGCAGACUGUGUGAAGUAACAAUGUUUAUUGUAACAGGGGCAGGCAAACGACAGGUCAAGGCAGGCAGAGGUCGAUAAUCCAGAGUAGAGGCCAAGGUACAGGACGGCAGGCAGGGUCAGGGUCAGGUCAGGCAGGGGUCGAUAAUCCAGAGUAGAGGCCAAGGACGGCAGUCAGGGUCAGGCAGAGUGGUCAGGUGGGUGGGUACAGGGUCAGGACAGGCAAGGGUCAAAAACCAGGAGGAUGAGAAAAAGAGAGACUGGGGAAAAACAGGAGCAGAGACAAACACUGGUUGACUUGAACAAACAAGACAAACUGGCACAGACAGACAGAAAACACAGGUAUAAAUACCCAGAGGAUAAGUGGGGAAGAUGGGUGACACCUGGAGGGGGUGGAGACAAGUACAAGGACAGGUGAAACAGAUCAGAGCGUAACAGAGCGAAGCAAAGAGUGCUCAGUAUAAGGCCAGGGGUAGCCUUAGUUAUAAUCACUAACAGAACCUGUGGCUGCAGAUGGAGAACUAGGGCACCUGCUCUUUCUGUGCAUGGCCAAUGAUAAUCGAAAGACAGAUGGUCUUGGCAUAAGCUGAUUUAAAAGCUCCUCACUCACUGUCUUGAAGAAGGAUGUAAGCUGGUGUCUAUUUCCAACCUGUUUGAAGGCUGUAUGCUGGUGUCUAUUUCCAAC